CUCGCCGUCCUCAAUUUUGAUCUUGACUGUAUGCACCUUCUCCGAUAAUGACACAUCAUCUUCCAAUGCUCCCACCGUCUACCAACAGAUACAACUCCUAACCGGCUUCAGAUCGACCACUAACUAUCCAUUGGAAAAAGGCCGCAACAGUCAUAUUUUAAGAUCAUGAACCAAGGAGCCAGCCGCUGGGAUGCGCCUAAACUUGCGACAAUUCUAGACAAAGGACUAAGAUAACUUCUGACAUAGGAGGCAGCAAAUUCAUUUAAAAGUCACAUGAGCCAGAGAGUUGGA
Molecule: long non-coding RNA, 291 nt
Filed under: Elaeis guineensis (African oil palm)
Lineage: Eukaryota; Viridiplantae; Streptophyta; Magnoliopsida; Arecales; Arecaceae
Description: long non-coding RNA (EGUI_LNC016610)
Source: RNAcentral